Octodon degus (degu) is the source of this 3069-nucleotide long non-coding RNA. RefSeq lists it as uncharacterized. Lineage: Eukaryota; Metazoa; Chordata; Mammalia; Rodentia; Octodontidae. The record is from RefSeq and is a predicted model, not a curated record. The transcript is spliced from 6 exons.
AGCUGCGAUGGAGCGCGCCUUGGCUCACUGGCCUGGCGCAGCUCCUCCGAAGAGUCGGGGCGCCCACGCAAGCCUGCCUCGCUCGGGUCUCUUUGGAGAUGACAUCACGGACUCACCCCUUCCUCGAGGACCACCUACCCUGGAUACCAAGCUGCUUCCGGUUGCCUGCCGCCCUCUCCUCACGGUCCUCAUUUGCAUAUGGCCCAGGACAUCAGCAGCCUACAAGUACACACCAGCAAGUCCCAGGUCCAGCCUCUGGAAGGACAACAUGGAGACGCCAGGAACGGACCAGCAACUGUCCCACGGGACUAAAGAUUUAACACCAGUGCCCUAGUGAGGGGGCACUGGGCCUUCCCCCACCUUGGCCCUGCCUGUGGCUUGACUCUGCCUCCUGCCCUGUGUGUACCUGCUCGGGAGCCUGCUGGCCAACUGGUGCUUCCCUCCCCUGGGGGUGUCAGUCUUCCCUGACUGCCAACAUACACUGUUUUAGUGGAGGGUCCCUCUGGGGAUUUCUCAGGAGGGAGACCUGGGCCAAGAGCCUGUGGUGGGCUUCUGGAAUGAGCAUGUGCCUGACUGCCAAAGGCAUGCCCCCCUCCCAGGACCUCCCUGUCCUUUCUCGAGGAGCAGGGAUGCCAGGGGCGACCUCCUAGGUGGUUGUGAGAAUUAAAUGAUCAAAAAAAAAAAAAAAUUAAAUGAUCUAAAGCAACUUGGAUCUAGGGGGGCACAGAGGAGGCGGUCAGCAAAUGUUUGUUGAAGCAUCUGCCAGGUUUGUCCUGUCGCACUGUGCUCCAUCUUACUUGUCUUCCUUGUUCUCCCACAGACUCCCGACAGCCCCCCCUGAGGGGCUCUCCUUGCAUCGGGCAGGGGUGCCACAGGGACACCAGCCAGAGGGCAGACUUGAGUAAGAUCAUGAAUUAUGCACACACUCAUUUCCAGGGCACUUUCUACACAACAUGAGCGCGCAGUUCCUGCAGGAUCUCCACAUGUCUCCAGGUGUUCUUGCUUGCAGGCCAGGGUGAAUUUGGUCUUGCUUUGCUUAAUCUGGAAAAGGUAGGCGGGACACAGGCUCUUAGCCACAGGUCCAUGGGACGGUUUGCACACACAUUUAUGGAGAAAGCGAAAGGGGACCAGUGUCAGUGUUUUGUCCAACCCCAGCGAGAGGAGGGGUCAGAGUUGGGCCCUGGGUGCUGUCAAAGCUGCAGGUGACCCUCCUGGCCCCUGGCCUGGAGUUCUUAUAUUUCCAUUCAAACAUUUAAAGUGGGGCAGCUUGUCUGAAAUCCCAGCUGUCCAGGGUGGUUUUGGGGGCCUAGGUGGCCCCAGAGCAGCUUCAUGUGCUAGGUCCACCUCUUAACAACAGUGUGACCUUUGAUAAGUCCCUAAAUUUCUCCUUUCCGUGGCCUAAGUGGGGAUUAAAAACCCCAAUCCUGGUUUAUCUACCCCACAGGGCGCUUUUGAAGGCCAAAUGAAGUAACUGCUAGGAAAGUGCUUUGUAAAUUGCUGUGGAAAUCGCAGGACACAUAUCCCUGGCUGUCCCUUGGUGGCCCCUGCCCGGCCCUCUGCCCCUUUCCCAAUCAGUCUGUGCCCAGUAGGUUCUCUGGGUGUUUGCACUCCACAAAUAAAUUUCAGAAUCAAUAAAAAUGGAAUCAAUUCAGCAAACAUUUCCUGAGAUGCUGACAAUAUGCCUCACGUGCCAGGCUAGGUAUGGGCUCCAAAGAUAAUGAAAACAAUGUCUUGCAAGCUAAUUGGGGUCCUCAUUUGGCCAGUACUUUUCUUUGGUCUCCUUUUAAGCCAACCAGUUUUGUCCGGACAAGACAAAAAAGACUCUGGGCUGCCUUGGAGAAGCGCAGCUUGUGUGCACAAUAGCUGCCCAGCCUCUGAAAAGGCCUGAUUGGAUUAGGGGGCAAACGGAGGCGGGAGGGUGGCUUGGAAGGUAACAAAUAAAGUGGGCGGGGCCUCGCUUUGAGUUAAUUCAGGCUAUUGGGGGGCACCUUUUGUCUUUCAGAGACAGGCAGAAGCUUUUACGUCUGGUUUUUAUGUCCUGAACACUCAGGACAUGCAGUUCCCUGCUGGAGACCAUCCGGGGCUCAGGGAUAGUACAGUCUAGUGGGCUGCGGGAUGGAGGGGCUGUUUGCAGUGAGUGGCAUCUGCAGUGAGUGGUGGCGGUGAGGGUUGGGUCUCCUUUUGCAUUGUCCAUGCAUUUGAUCCUCACAACUCCUAUCCUGACCCAGGGCCGGCCUGUCACCACCCAGGGACACAGAGGCUGUCAAGUGGCUCCACCGAUCUGGCUCCCGUGUCCCCAGUGCCUUCGAUCCAACAGUAGACCUGAACCUGUCUCCGGCUUGCACCUCCAUCUCUGCCUCCUCCUUGCCUGGACUCUGCUCUCCCUGAGGCCUGAGUCCCGGGCCCUCCUGUCCUUCUCUCGCCACUCCAGUCUCUCUCUUUCCUUCGCAGCUCAGCUUCUCCAGGAGCCCUGUCUGCACCGCUUUCCUUCUUCACCUCCAUCUUCUCUUCAACCCAUGUCUCCGCCCGCUCUGCUCCACUCGCCAGUCUCGUCCAGCUGGCCUUAUCUACUGUGGCCGUGACUGGCUGCUCUGGCUGAAGGACAUUGGACGGCAUUAACAGGACCCUGAGGAGCCACUGCCCAGGACUUCCUUCUCCAUGAAGAGCCGCUCACCCACGUGGUCUGGGCAGAAUCCACCGGCGCCGGGAACCCUGCGAGGGACAGGACCACAGACACCGACUCAGCACCCCAGUGCUCCCCCAGCUCUGACUUCCUUCACAGCCACGGGGACACCCUGCGCACAUUCCCACAGGACAGGCUGGACCCAAAGAUUCUGGACCAGGCCUCCCCUUGAGUACAGAGGCGCCCUCUGACUGAUGGACUGCGCCGAUCCGGGGGUCAGCCACCUCCCCCUGAAUGCUGAGACUUGGGGGAGCUGCAGAACCUGCACUGCCCGCCUCUGUGGAGUAGGCGGGGACACCUUCCUCCAGGCACAGGGCUGCUCUGAGGCCCUGGACACGGUUCCGAAGCACCAGGCUGGGCUCAGCCUCUCAUGCUGUCAAUAAAUG